Long non-coding RNA from Bos taurus (domestic cattle), 907 nucleotides. The record is from Ensembl. Lineage: Eukaryota; Metazoa; Chordata; Mammalia; Artiodactyla; Bovidae.
GAGUCCCACCCGGGGUCCUUAGAAACAGGACGGGCCGCGCCCGAGUCCCACCUGGGGUCCUUAGAAACAGGGCUUGGCCUGCUUUCACCCACCCUAGUGCUCACCCCCUGGAGGACUGGCUGGCCCUGUGUCACCUACUGAGCACGCAGGACAGUCUGAACAGCAGGGAGGAAGGGCUCCAGAGCGGCCUCGGGAGGACUUCCUGGGUGGGGCUCACCUGCUUUCACAGAAGCAGCGUUUACCAGCCCCUCCUGCCCGCCAGGUCUGUGCCAGUUCCUCUGCUCAAGCACCCCCGCUGGCUUCUCCAGCUUAUGUGGAGGAGACGGCUCCACUGACAUGGAGCCGCCUCCCCAGGGUUACCCAGGGAGCAACGGGGGACGUGAGACCGAAGCCCAUGCCCCUGGCACACAUGGCUCCUGGCACACAUGAGCUCCCGGAGGCCAGAUGGCGCCCACACCUUUGGGUCACAGCAACCCGGAGUGGGAGGAUGGGGUGGGGCAGCACUGGCCUGGCCAUGCCCCCUGGCAGCCACCUUGCCCUCACACGCCCCCUCAGCAGCCUGCCUUGGAAUCAGGUCCCCAAGUUUAAAUCAUCACAAGAUGAUUUACUUACUCAUCGCUGCAAGAGCUGGGCAGAGGUCAGCGAGCAAAGAGGGAGCUUCCGGCCUUUCCCAGGACCCUGUUCCUCCCACCGAGGAAUUGCCAAGGGGCCAGUUCCCACACGCACACCCAGCCACCCAGGCUGAGAUGAGCCACCAGGGUGCCAGAGCCAGGGACUGAGGGUGGCAUGGCCUCUCUAAGCUCCAAGACGGGCAGAGCUACGCUGCUUGUGGCCUCAGGCUGGCGUGGGCGUGGCGGGGGCACAGCCAGGGUUCUGACACAUGCCCACCCCCAUCUCAGCCCUGUCU